Molecule: ribosomal RNA, 417 nt
Filed under: uncultured bacterium
Lineage: Bacteria
Description: bacterial SSU rRNA
Rfam family: Bacterial small subunit ribosomal RNA
Source: RNAcentral
UGAGGAAUAUUGGGCAAUGCCCGCAAGGGUGACCCAGCAACGCCGCGUGGAGGAUGAAUGUCGUAAGAUUGUAAACUCCUGUUAGAGGGGACGAAUAGUACCGGUUGGACCGGUAUAUGACUGUACCCUCAGAGAAAGCCCCGGCUAACUACGUGCCAGCAGCCGCGGUAAUACGUAGGGGGCAAGCGUUGUCCGGAUUUACUGGGGGUAAAGGGCGCGCAGGCGGGAUAAAAAGUCAGUGGUGAAAUCCUACAGCUUAACUGUAGAACUGCCUUUGAUACUUGUAUUCUUGAGUUCGGGAGAGAGAGACGGAAUUCCAGGUGUAGUGGUGAAAUACGUAGAUAUCUGGAAGAACACCAGUUGCGAAGGCGGUCUCUUGGUCCGACACUGACGCUGAGGCGCGAAAGCGUGGGGAGC